UAAUGUACUAAUGUCUCCCUUUACACAUUCUGAACUUUAUCUUGACUAUGGUGCAAUUAGUUAUUAUUCAAUACAAUGCAUUAAGUUAGUUAUGCCUUUUUCAUCACACUUUAUCAUUAUUUAGACAAAAAUAUGGCAGGUUCAUAAUAUUUAUGUGUGAUUGCAGACUGUUUAGCUCUAUUGGAUAUUAGUUUCACGGAGGUGUAAGGAAGUAAUAUUUCAGUUGUCAGAUUGGUUUAAGCUUAUAAUCAGGUACUUUCUACCACUUGAUGUCCAAAUUAUGAUAGGUCAUAGGAGUCAUGUCGUUUAAGGCUUUAGUUGUAAGUUGCUAGGUAUUGUCCCUAUAAAACUGAUAAUGGAAUUCCAAUAUACAAUAUUCUGUUUUGUGAGACUAAAUGAAGUUUGUUUGAAGUCAAAAUUGUUUAAAUGUAUUUAGUAUCUAAUAUGAGUUUGUUUUUGUUUUUUUUGACAAGCAAGGUUGAGGGGACCUCUACCCCCUUUUCAAUUACGUGAGAAAACUUUUAUCAACAAUCUGCUGCUGAUGUGUUUCGAACCCACAACCUUUCCGCUUUUGUGAGAGGGCUGCUACCGUUGCGCCACAGGCUCAUUCACAUCUAAUAUGAACUAAUUUGGAGAACCUCAAGGUGUUUGAAAAGGUAGAUUACAAUUUUCUGUGUCUUUUUUUUUUUUUUUGUUCCCCUUUUAAUGGUUUUGUAUGUUUGUGGGUGCUAUAAUGGUGCCAAAAAACUAAUACAGUAUAUUACUCAGAGAAUAUAUAUUGAAACAAUGAGUAGGUCUUGGGGCAGUUAUUACUAAAUAUAUUUUGUAGCCACUCAAUAACACACUAAACAUUCAAAGUUUUGAAGAAGUUAGUGCAAGAGAAAACAUAUCAUCUUGAGUGUGAGCGAGAGUAAGUGAGGAAAGAGAAGCCAUAGCUAGCUAUAGUCUCUCGGAUAUAUAAGUAAGUGGUACUAAAAUUGUUCUUCAUUGCCCGGACCUAAAUCAAAUAAAUUUGUAAUAGUUUGACUAGGACAAAUGACAAUCAUCCCAUUAACAACUUUUUCUUUUAGUUCCACAGUGUAGUUCUCUUUCAUUUCUCUUCGAAUUGCUCUAUCUUCUUCUCAAUUUUUUAAUAAACUAGGGGAAAUUAAAGAACACUUAAAAGUUGAAACAACAGUCUUCUUAUUGUAAAUAAAACUCAAGUGAAUUAUAAUAUCCAUCAAGGCCGGAUGUCUAAAUCAUAAUUGAGGAGCUAGAAGUUACACCCGUGAUCUUACAUUUGGGAGCAAAUAGAACACUUAUCAAUGGACGCUUCACAUCUUCAUUUUUAUAUAAGUAUUGGUCAGCGAUUGGUACUUUUUACAAGUUCUGACUAUUUCUUAUUGCUAACUUUCAAGGACCUGCCUAUGGAAUUUGAUCUAUUGGGUGGGUGUAGAAUACAAGCAUUUGUCCUGAUUCUAAAAACUUCAUAUGGGGUGUUCUUUUCCAUGGUAUAUGUUGGGGAACAUGAAUGGAAAAAAGAAGAGAUUAUUUGAAAGGUUAAACUAUGCCAUUGCCCUAAAUCAUUUAAAUGGAACUGUUGGGUCUUAUAACAUUAUGGUUGACAGAUAUGCAAUUUGUAUUGUCCACAACUUUUUUGUAUUGCUACUGGUAUGGCUUCAAAUUCUUAAAUUUUCACGAAUGCAUGCUUUGAUUUCAGUACAAAAUGAACGAGUCUUAUUAGAUUGUCAAUCGAGAUUUUCAGAUACACUUUGGUCUGGAAAACAAAGUGAAUAAAUGAUAGAAGAUAAUUUGUCUCUGCUUUAUAUCAAUCUUUGUGUCUUAGAAAGUAUUCUUGGGUAAUUCACACCAGGUCUGGGCAAUGUUCUAGGAACAGAGCAAUGCUGAAAUGCUACUGCGAUCAUGGUCUAAACUGACCUCAAAUGGGUUUAGUGAGUGCAUAUGAUCUAUACUACCUUCUGCCACUAUGUGGGUAUUAUAAAGCAUGUGCAAUGAUUCAAUUUUUUGGCAUUGCAGGAUUAUCAUGAGAUGGCGCAGUUGUAAGGUUUAACGAAACAAUGUGGUGUUGGCUGGAAAUGAGCAAGGAAAGCCUGCAACAAAUGACAACAACCCGGGUUAAAUGAACUAAGGGCUGACUGGGAGACCCUGUUUCACUGAACAUAUAGCAACAACGGUUACAUAUAAGUGACAUAUAGGAAGGAUUCAAUCUUGGCAACAACAAAGGGGAGAUACGCAAAAGGCAACAAUGGGAUAACAAGGCAAACGAGCAACCAGGUGUAGCCAUUGCAAAGGGGAGCAACAAUAUGCAUAAUAAAUAACUGUGAACUGAAGUCUGACAAGAGACUUGGGAUUACUAGGAGCUGCAGCAGAUAUUUCUGUUAGUCAAAUAGGUUAUACGUGUUUUGUAUAUUUGUCUUACGGGCAGAGGAUUUUUGUUUCUAUGUUUUAAAAAUGUGAAAAUGGAGCUGUGUCUUUGUGGGUACUUUGAGUACGCUGCUCAAGAAUGUAAGUUUGUUUUUUCAUAUAAAUAAAAAUUUUACUUUCAUCAUAUAAAAAUAAAAAGAU
This 2565-nucleotide long non-coding RNA is filed under the name Aquilegia coerulea. RNAcentral's name for it is "long non-coding RNA (ACOE_LNC000016)". Lineage: Eukaryota; Viridiplantae; Streptophyta; Magnoliopsida; Ranunculales; Ranunculaceae. The record is from RNAcentral.